GACAGAGGUCCCGAGCGUUAGGCGGAAUCACUGGGCUUAAAGCGUGUGUAGGCGGAUGCCUAAGUACCUUGUGAAAUCCCACGGCUCACCCGUGGAACUGCUUGGUAUACUGGGUGUCUUGAGCCACUUAGGGGCUACCGGAACAAAUGGUGGAGCGGUGAAAUGCGUAGAGAUCUGGAGGAAUACCGGUGGCGAAGGCGGCCCCCUGGACAAAGACUGACGCUCAGGUGCGAAAGCGUGGGGAGCAAACAGG
Molecule: ribosomal RNA, 253 nt
Filed under: uncultured prokaryote
Description: partial 16S ribosomal RNA
Rfam family: Bacterial small subunit ribosomal RNA
Source: RNAcentral